Molecule: long non-coding RNA, 280 nt
Organism: Anoplopoma fimbria (sablefish)
Lineage: Eukaryota; Metazoa; Chordata; Actinopteri; Perciformes; Anoplopomatidae
Exons: 3
Source: RefSeq, a predicted model, not a curated record
AUGACACCGCUGGACACGCAGCUCGCUCAUCGCUCCAAUAACAGCUGCUUCCUCCGCAUGUCGGCGGUAGAGGAAUUAUUAAAUGCAUAAUUUACUGCGCAACAGCUUCUAGUAAAGACGACAAGCCACAGCACCACCCAGUGACACUAACAGGGAACUGCACUGCAACAAGGCCCCAUGAGCCAACAGCACACCUGCAUGUGAGGUAGUGAAGACACCACGCACACUCAAUGGCAGGUGCCAGGCCAAACUUUGGAUCAGGAGUCAGGAGUAAUAACAA